Molecule: ribosomal RNA, 375 nt
Filed under: uncultured organism
Description: partial 16S ribosomal RNA
Rfam family: Bacterial small subunit ribosomal RNA
Source: RNAcentral
AGAGGGGUGCAAGCGUUAAUCGGAGUUACUGGGCGUAAAGCGUGCGUAGGCGGAUAUUCAAGUCGAGUGUGAAAUCCCCGGGCUUAACCUGGGAAUUGCGCUCGAUACUGGGCAUCUAGAGUAUGGCAGAGGAAAGUGGAAUUUCCGGUGUAGCGGUGAAAUGCGUAGAUAUCGGAAAGAACACCAGUGGCGAAGGCGACUUUCUGGACCAAUACUGACGCUAAAGUACGAAAGCGUGGGGAGCAAACAGGAUUAGAGACCCUGGUAGUCCACGCCGUAAACGAUGAGAACUGGACGUUAGUUCCGCCAUUGGCGGAAUUAGUGUCGAAGCUAACGCGUUAAGUUCUCCGCCUGGGGAGUACGGCCGCAAGGUUA